UGAGAAAUGCGACCGAUAAUAUAAUACCAAUAGCUAUCAUUAAUAUAUUAUGCGGUUAAAAGGUGCGUCGUCCUGGCACCCGUAAUUGAUCAAAUUUCUUCCUAAACAAUUUCAUUUUUUAGUAUCCGAUUUUGUCGGAUUUCAAACGGCUCCUGUCUAUUGUUUAUUUAUUUUCAAACCGCUACCGUAGAAAAAAAAAUUUAACUCAAUUUCAAAGUUAUUUCAGUAUACCUAAUUUUUUUCAAAAAAACAAGAGUUCAUUAGGAACAUUAUUGACAAAUUUCCAUCGAGUGAAAUAACACUGGAAGUUUGGACCAAACAUUAAAAAAUGUACAAUGCAUAAGAAAAAACAUAUAUUGAGUGAUAUUUUGAAACUUAAAAUUACAAAUUAUGAUGAAGCUACAGCUACAGAGUAAUGACGACGGUCGUCGGUUAACGAUGCAAGCCGCAAGAAGUAGAACACCAUCACCGUUAGGAGUAUAUUGAAUAUAUAACUUUAUACUCAUAACUUCAUAGAUAUUUUAAUUUGAAAGAGUUUUAUGAGGGAGUACCUGGUACCUAAUACUUAUGUCAUCUACCUAUGUCGUCAAUCAUAAUAAAAUGACAUCACAGAUCAUAACCGCUGUUCGAGUUGUCUUUGAGUAAAUUGUCUUAUUAUCAAACUAAUAUUAAAAACAUUAUCUGUG
Molecule: long non-coding RNA, 686 nt
Organism: Aphis gossypii (cotton aphid)
Lineage: Eukaryota; Metazoa; Arthropoda; Insecta; Hemiptera; Aphididae
Exons: 3
Source: RefSeq, a predicted model, not a curated record